GCGAGCGUAGCUCAGCUGGUAGAGCGUCUGCUUCCCAAGCAGAAUGUCGGGAGUUCGAGUCUCCUCGCUCGCU
RNAcentral lists this transfer RNA (73 nucleotides) under Chloroflexota bacterium. RNAcentral's name for it is "Chloroflexi bacterium (anaerobic digester metagenome) tRNA-Gly". It matches the Rfam family "tRNA". From Rfam's summary of the family: Transfer RNA (tRNA) molecules are approximately 80 nucleotides in length. Their secondary structure includes four short double-helical elements and three loops (D, anti-codon, and T loops). Further hydrogen bonds mediate the characteristic L-shaped molecular structure. tRNAs have two regions of fundamental functional importance: the anti-codon, which is responsible for specific mRNA codon recognition, and the 3' end, to which the tRNAs corresponding amino acid is attached (by aminoacyl-tRNA synthetases). tRNAs cope with the degeneracy of the genetic code in two manners: having more than one tRNA (with a specific anti-codon) for a particular amino acid; and 'wobble' base-pairing, i.e. permitting non-standard base-pairing at the 3rd anti-codon position. The record is from RNAcentral. Lineage: Bacteria; Bacillati; Chloroflexota.